CCUUCAGCCCCAUAGAGGAAGUCCCCAGAGGAUGGAUGGUUCUGGAAGUUACGGGUUACCAGGACAACGCAUCCCCUCAGCCUGGCCACGCCCCCCGGGCUCCCGCUCACUGGUUGCAAAACUCAGCUUUGCCCCUGCACGGAGUUUCCCUUCGCGGGGCCCGCUGGGGAAGCAUCCGCGGCUUGUGGUGGCUGUGGUUUUGUGCCCAGGACUCACACGUAAAAGGAGCUCAUUCGGAGGCAGGGGCACGCGCUUGUCCCCAGAACUCAAACCCCAGAGUCCCUCCGGCAGAUGAGAGUGGAGGUUGUAAAUCACCCUCCAUGCAAUGGUUCAUCAUAAAGGAUAUGGAGCAAAAUUAGAGGAGGCACGAGAAGGAAAGCCGGUGAUGAACAAGGAAAGUGCCUGGUUGAAGCUAGCUUGCAAUCCCAAAGUCAGAAGGUUGCCUGGGAAGCCAUGAAACAAAGCCAAAUCAAGGCAAAGCAGACACAUGGAGAUUUUGAGACUGAGAAGAGGAAAACUGAGGACAUUCAUGUGAGAUGGUUUCAAGUUUCCCUUAGAAGGAGAAGUUAUCUUCAGAAGGUCAGGUUGGUGAGGUGGGAGUUCAAAAACAACAAAGUAUGUAGCUACCAUUGUGAGGAAGACCAUGGAAAAUGGACGAAUCAGAAUGAAAGGCUUUCUGAACAAGAGGGAGUUUCCCUGCACAAGCUCCCUCCUGCCUGCUGCCAUGUGAGACCUGCGUUUUGCCUUCCACCAUGACUGUGAGGCCUCUUCCCCGGCCAUGUGGAACUCCCAGAGACAGAAGCAGAUAAUGCAAGUGUCAUCUACAUCUGGCAAAAGCCAAAGGUUUGGAAGAUGGAAAAAGGAAUCCAGGCAAAAAGGAGCCCAAGAUUGAAGUGAAUGACCAGGUGCACCAGUUCAAAUGCAAUCAGGAGGGACAGGGGUAGAGGGAGAAGCCUAGAGCAGCGCUUCUCAAACUGACUAUUCAAGUCACCUGGAGAUCUUGGUGAAAUGCAGACUCUGGUGCAGUAGGUCCUGGCGGGAACUUGAAAUUCUGCAUUUUGACCAAGGUCCAAGGUGAAUGUCCAGUGCUGUUGUCCUUGGCCUGCAGCAGGAGGAGCAGGGAUCUAAGACUUGGAGAGCAAAUGUCAAGCUCAGAAGAAAGACUGGAAGUUUGGGGACAAAACCCAAAUAUGGCUAAAGAAAGCCUGUAGGUAAGCUUUGAGUUGUAUUUUCCAUCGCAUCUGAAGCUGUGCUGGCCAACAUGGUAGUCACUGGCCCUGUGUGGCUAUGGGCUAGUCCUAAUGGACAUGUGCUCUAACAUGUAAAAUACACACUGGAUUUUCAAUACUUGGUACCAAGAAAAUAAUGUAAAAUAUCUCAAUACUUUAAAAACAUUAUUGCAUGUUGAAAUAAUAUUUUAGAUAUAUUGGGCUAAAUAAAAUAUACCCAUAUUACUGAAA
This is a long non-coding RNA of Homo sapiens (human), 1460 nucleotides long. Ensembl annotates it as long intergenic non-protein coding RNA 877. The record is from Ensembl. Lineage: Eukaryota; Metazoa; Chordata; Mammalia; Primates; Hominidae.